CCCUUAGAUGUUCUGGGCCGCACGCGCGCUACACUGACGAAUGCAACGAGCUUAUAACCUUGGCCGAAAGGUCUGGGUAAUCUCCAAAUUUCGUCGUGAUGGGGAUAGAUUAUUGCAAUUAUUAAUCUUCAACGAGGAAUGCCUAGUAAGCGCAAGUCAUCAGCUUGCGUUGAUUACGUCCCUGCCCUUUGUACACACCGCCCGUCGCUACUACCGAUUGAAUGGUUUAGUGAGGCCUUCGGAUCCGCGACUCGUUUGUGGAGAAGUUGGACAAACUCAGUCAUUUAGAGGAAGUAAAAGUCGUAACA
Molecule: ribosomal RNA, 308 nt
Filed under: uncultured eukaryote
Lineage: Eukaryota
Description: partial 18S ribosomal RNA
Rfam family: Eukaryotic small subunit ribosomal RNA
Source: RNAcentral